Molecule: non-coding RNA, 122 nt
Organism: Paramuricea clavata
Lineage: Eukaryota; Metazoa; Cnidaria; Anthozoa; Malacalcyonacea; Plexauridae
Source: the annotation of a GenBank genome assembly
GUCAGGAUGGCCGAGCGGUCUAAGGCUCCAGACUCAUGUUUCCAAACUUGCUCCGCUAAUGCGGAGCCAAACGGCGUUCAGGUCCACUAAUGUGGGCGUGGGUUCCCAUCCCACUCCUGACA